Molecule: non-coding RNA, 2342 nt
Organism: Solanum lycopersicum (tomato)
Lineage: Eukaryota; Viridiplantae; Streptophyta; Magnoliopsida; Solanales; Solanaceae
Source: RefSeq, a predicted model, not a curated record
UGUUGGGGCUGAAAGUAGCAUGUUAGACCGUUUGAAGAUCUAGGUCAAGAUCGCCAAACCACUCGAUAUUUGGCUGAAUUCCCCUAAUCGUCUUCAAUUUCAUGUUUAAUCUAAAGUUAGUAACUAUAAAUUUUGUCGAGAAGCCUGAGUUCACUGAGUGCACUCGGCAACUCGCUGAAACUCUUCUUUGACUGUGUUUUCUGCGCCUCUAAUCCAUGUAAGCACUAUAACUUUUGGCGGUCUAGUCCUUGCUCGCUCAAUGUUUCAGUGAUUCACCAAAAGAUCCUUCCCAUCACCGACAUGCAAAAUUUUUUGGAAUCUUUUAUCCUAUCCUUUCGGCAUGCCCGAUAUGACUCGCCAACGAGAUUCAGCGACUAGCCGAUUGGUUCAACAUGACUCGACCAAAAGUGGCCGGUACAGACAUGCUACCUCGCAAGAGGGACAAGAGAAUAUCAAUCAAUGAGGAUGCAACUGCAUCCAGGGCUAAGACCACCAAAAGUCCUACGACAGGUGGGAAGGUAAAGGGAAAAGGAAAGGAACCUACGACACCGGAGUCCAACUUUGAUAGUGACGGUAUCUAUGCUACUCACCUUACUACUUAUGAGAGUGACAGUAAGCAUCAGGAGCACCAAAUUGCAACUUCUAAGACUGAAGAUGAGCUACUAGCAACCUUGAGAGUGGAGUUGCGUUCCAAGAGUCUAAAUUAUCCUUCUAGGAUCACGAUCCCUCAAACUACUUCUCAUACUCCAGUUAACACAAGUUGUGGUCCUAGAACCAUUGGUACAAGGUCCGCCUUGACUGUCUAUGAACACACUAAAGACCGAGGAUUUGAGGACCAUCACAGAGGAGAAGACUCUCUCUACUGAUGAAGUAAUUGAUAGGUACUCGAAGAUCAUUAGUUGUCUGAGGUCUCAAAAAUUCUAUCUCAUUACCAAGCCUCAUGGGCCCAUACUUUCCAAAUUGAUUCAGACAACACUCACUAAUGUUGUGACACCUUUGAGUGCUACAAUUGAGGUCAUUGCUUCUAGGAUAGUAGUGUGCGAGAGUGGCCAAGGGGACAACAAGGAGGUGAUGACUCUAAAGGCUGCUAUUGCUGCACUUAGGAGAGGUGUGGACCAGCUAAAGUCUAUCGACAUGUCUAUAGUUUUCGAGAAGAUGGAGAUCCCAAAUGUGCCAGUUGAUCUAGAUAUGCCUCCGACUUCUAUAGAAAAUGUUUGUUUGAGCUGAGGAGGUAGAUGAUCCCGAGUCUAAGGUUGAGACGAUGAGGAGCGACUUGGUGGUGAUGAGGAGGCCUCUUAUGAGAGCCUUACAGAGAUUUAGGAGGUCAUGGUAGAUGCGACUGUGCAGACUUCUUUGGAAAACACACCAUUAGUUGGCCCUAGUAGAGCUGGUAGUGCUGGUGAUGUGACUCUAGGAAUAAAACCCAAGAUCAGAGCGAUGCACCAGGCAUUGAUGCCCUGACAAAUAAAUCGAUUACAUAGAAAAGAUCCCUCUUUAUCUCCCUCUCUUUCAUCAUUAUGUACUUUUUAGAUAUUUUUCUUAUAUUUGAGGACAAAUUGUUUUUGUUUUGUGGUGGGGUGAGGCUCACUUUUUUUGAUUAUUGCCCUGCUCAAAUAUUGUAUUUUGCGCUAUAAAUUGUGUUUUGGCACUGCAUUUGUUGAUGUUUGAGCUUGUGGCUACUUUUUUUGAAUGUAAAUUUUUUUGCCCCUUUUUGAAAAAGUUUGUCCAUCUUAAUGUGUUUGGUAGUGACAGUUCUUUUGGAAAUUUUAGCAUCGGUCUUGAUUAAUAUCGAUGACUUAAAUACUUCUCAUAAUCGAACAAAAUUAUUGUGCUUCUUUGAUGAGGCCAAAUUAACUUACAUAGACAAUAUGUGAACUUUUUGCAUCUCGUUAUGACUAGCCGAUUAUCAAAUCGAGUCUCUUGUGAUGAACAUUGCACACUGGCAAAAGUAUGGAGUCUUGUUUGACAUUGGUGUGAAUGCCUUGUGUGAUGAUCUUACCAUGAAUUAUUUGUGAUGAUACCUAGAAUUUUCCCCAUUGGUCCGGUUGACUAAGUGGUGCAAUCUCUUUGAAUGAUCUUAGGCAACUAUUGAAGAGUGAAAUGAUUUGACAUUAUACCUCUUUUGUGGUAAACCUGUACAAUUAUGACCUUGUUUUAUCCCUUCACCCAUAAUCCUCAUAAGAUGUGGUUCGUUUGAAUAGCCAACUUAGGCCAAAAAAAAGUUGGCAGUGUGGUGAAAAGAGAAUAUAAAUUAAGAAAUAAAAAAAUAAUUACCCUUUGAUUCAUGAUUUUGAAAAAGAUGGACCCCCAUAUAAAAAAAAGAAAAAAAGAAAAAAAGAAAA